AAAUGUUCGACACCAUCCGUACAAUACUUCUUGUGAAGGGGGAAUUGUGUGGUGCAUUCGGCAAGCAGUACUUCUUGGGCAUCGCUCUUGAAAGUACUCCUUGCCUAGACGAAAUAAUUGCUAAAUUUUACUCGGUAAGGUGCAAUUAUGGCCGUGAAUAUGUUGCUUCUCGAUGCGGCUACCAGUAUUUGUUGAUUGUCGAUGGCGACUGGAAGUAUCGUAUCGGAUGCCUAAUAGAGUGACAUGUCUUGGUUAUUAUGUGUUUU
Molecule: unclassified non-coding RNA, 266 nt
Filed under: Contracaecum osculatum
Lineage: Eukaryota; Metazoa; Nematoda; Chromadorea; Rhabditida; Anisakidae
Description: internal transcribed space 2
Source: RNAcentral